CAGAAAAUAAACACAAUUUUUUGGAAAGGCUAUGGAAAUACUCCCUCUCUUUUCCAACAACAUCAUGUUCAUAUAUUUCCACCAAAACAAGAUACUGCAACAAAUUGCAUAAAAAGGUGCAUAUGGGAAUUCCCACUGUGGUGGGUUAAGAAUAUGACUGCAGUGGCUCAGGUCGCUGCAGAGGUGCAGGUUCAAUUCCUAACCCAGCACAGUAGGUUAAAGGAUCCAGAGUUGCCACAGCUGCAGCUAGGAUUCAGUCCCUGGCCCAGGAACUUUCUAUGCUGUGGGUGAGGCCAUAAUAAAUAAAAAAUAAAUAAGCAGAUAUGAGAAUCCGUUUCAAUUCUAUUAAAUCAGUCCACAAAGAGAUCUGAGAAGGUAAAACAAUAAUUUUUUUUUUGUUUUGUAAAGAUAGUUUCUUUCAUUUAAAUGUGGUAGUUGUGUUAAUAUGUGAUGUUGUUCUUUAAGAUAAAUAUUUUAAAAUUACCUUUUUUCGGCCGUACCCCUGACAUGCAGAAGUUCCUCGGCCAGGGAUUGAACUGGAGCCACAGCAGUGACAAUGAUGGAUUCUUAACCCACUCAGCCACCAGGGAACUCCUCCAUUUUUAUUUCUAAUAUCAGCAGGUAUAACUCAUAAAGACAAAAGCUGGAGUUCCUGUCAUGGCACAGCAGAAACAAAUCCAACUAGGAACCAUGAGGUUGCAGGUUCGAUCCCUAACCUCACUCAGUGGGUUAAGGAUCCAGUGUUGCCAUGAGCUGUGGUGUAGACUGGCAGCUGUAGUUCUGAUUAGACCUCUAGCCUGGGAACCUCCAUAUGCUUCAGGUGUGGCACUGAAAAAAGCUAUUUUGUGGUCCUCAAAAUUUUUUCUUAAGUGUAAAAUUUCUUCAGUCCAAAACUUUUGAGAAAUGCCAUAUAAAACAGUGGGAAAAUUUAAAAAAUUAUAUAAAAAAAGAGACAGUGCAGCACUGAUGGGAGGUCAGAUAUAUCCAAGGAAUAUAAGUGAAAGUCCAGAAAUAAACCCUUAUGUUUAUGGUCAGUUUAUCUUAAAAAAAAAAAAUUCCAGUGCUUCCCUUCAUACUUCUAAUGAUACAGACAGUUCACAGAUAGGUCAUAGACUAUCAUUCCAGAAUCCUCAUAAGCAGGAAUUUCUUCAGUGUCUUUCAGCUUUGCUCUUCCUUUAGAAACGUUGCUGCGUCUGCAACCUACACCACAGCUCACGGCAACGCCGGAUCGUUAACCCACUGAGCAAGGCCAGGGAUGGAACCGCAACCUCACAGUUUCCAGUCAGAUUCGCUAACCACUGAGCCACGACGGGAACUCAAGGGAAUGCUUUCUUAAAAUGAAAGGCCCAUUUAGCUGACCUUGCCUUCUGCUUUUCUUUACAUCUGGAACUCAACUGCUGUACUGGAGCUUGAGCAGCCAUCCUGUGACUGCAAAGGAACACGCACAUAUUAAGGAUGCUGGGUGAAGGGAAGAGAGAAGGUCCUGGCUCUCCGAGGACGUUGUGGAUAUUCCAGAUCAGCCCUGGACUAAAAAAGACGUAUAUGAUAGGUAAUACGUUUAAGCUCCUGUUUUUUCCAAUUGUAUUACAGGUAAGCUAAAUGUCUAAAUCUUACAGUAUGACCCCACGCCCCCCUCCCACUUCAAUAGGAGGGUAUCAUUGGAGUUCCCAUCGUGGUGCAGAGGCAACGAAUCCGACGAGGAACCAUGAGGUUGUGGGUUCGAUCCCUGGCCUCGCUCAAUGGGUUAAGAAUCUGGCAUUGCCGUGAGCUGUGGUUUAGGCCAGCAGCUGUAGCUCCAAUUGGAUCCCUAGCCUGAGAACCUCCACAUGCCACGGGUGCAGCCCUGAAAAGCGCAUGCAUGCGCGCGCGCGCACACACACACACACACACACACACACACACGAGGGUAUCAUUAAUAACAGCAUUUCUUCCUGCUCAUCCUAAAUAUAGCCUCAGAAUCCAUCUCAACAUAAGUGCCUAAAACCCACAGUGCAGCAGAAUCCCCGACAUUACCCAGCAGCUCAGGCUUGAGAAGGACGUGGUCCUUGUGUGGUUCUGCAGCUGGCAGCAGAAGGGCAAGUGGUCAAGCAGUGACUAUUUGCAGCGAGGGGACUGUGAUACUGGCCCCUCCUUUCUUGGGCGGGGGCAGGUGGGGGGACCAGUAUCCUUUCCUCUGGCACCAAGGCCCCAGGUAAUACCCCAGGCUGUGGGUAUCCUCAUGUCUCUACACUGGCCUCCUUGGCCUCUUUCCAUGAGAGUGAAGCCUUUCUUGCUGCGUCUAUCAACACUCUGGGCUCUCCCGUGCAUUCAAACUGCGGUACCUGCCCUUCUCAGGAAUGGGGGCCAGAGGAAAGGGAGGCGCUAGGAGAAAACCUUGGGGUUUGUACCCAGGCUUCAGGGAUUAAGUUCUUCAUUCACUAAGAAAGGAAUUGGCCACACAGAGUGGGUGGGGACCCAGAGUUUGGGGGAACUGGCUGGAGGGAAGGUGAAGUUCGGCCAUACUCCUGACUGUAAUCCCCACUGUUUCCACUCUGCUCUUAAAUAAAGAAGCCUGGGACAUAGACACACAGAGGGAGCAAUAUAUUCCAG
This 2589-nucleotide long non-coding RNA is filed under the name Sus scrofa (pig). RNAcentral describes it as "lncRNA (ENSSSCG00030016901.1)". Lineage: Eukaryota; Metazoa; Chordata; Mammalia; Artiodactyla; Suidae. The record is from RNAcentral.